AUUGAACGCUAGCGGCAUGCCUUACACGUGCAAGCGAACGGCGAGCGCGGGGGCGAACCCUGGCGGCGAGCGGCGGACGGGUGAGUAAGGCAUCGGAAUCUGCCCUGAUNUGGGGGAUAACGUAGGGAAACUUACGCUAAUACCGCAUACGACCGAGAGGUGAAAAGCGAGGGACCGAAAGGCCUCGCGCAGCAGGAUGAGCCGAUGUCCGAUUAGCUAGUUGGUGGGGUAAAGGCCUACCCAAGGCGACGAUCGGUAGCUGGUCUGAGAGGAUGAUCAGCCACACUGGGACUGAGACACGGCCCAGACUCCUACGGGAGGCAGCAGUGGGGAAUAUUGGACAAUGGGGGCAACCCUGAUCCAGCAAUGCCGCGUGGAUGAAGAAGGUCUUCCGGAUUGUAAAGUCCUUUUGGCGGGACGAUGAUGGACGGUACCGCAGGAAUAAGCUCCGGCUAACUUCGUG
This 463-nucleotide ribosomal RNA is filed under the name uncultured bacterium. RNAcentral's name for it is "bacterial SSU rRNA". It matches the Rfam family "Bacterial small subunit ribosomal RNA", at positions 29 to 507 of the family's 1533-position model. The record is from RNAcentral.